Long non-coding RNA from Nasonia vitripennis (jewel wasp), 1364 nucleotides. RefSeq lists it as uncharacterized. NCBI's taxonomy places the organism in Eukaryota, Metazoa, Arthropoda, Insecta, Hymenoptera, Pteromalidae. The record is from RefSeq and is a predicted model, not a curated record. The transcript is spliced from 2 exons.
GUCGCCGUUCGGAACCAACCGUCGGAUGUUUGGACUUCUUGACCGGCCGGUUGCAUCGUGUCGAAGUACGUCCUGUGCUCGCCCAGAAGAACUGUAAACAGAAGCAGAGAUAGAAGCCUAUGAAUAGCAUCAAACGCUAACUACAAAAGCAGCUCUCGAAUCUAGUCCAAGCAAACACUCGGCUCAACAUCGAAGUAAAUCUUCUCCGGCACAAGACAUGAGGGUGUUCGAAUCAAUUAGCAUAUUUCAACUCCUCGCCCGCAUAAACCGUAAACACUUCCAGCUACUCGCACGAAGUAUAGAACGACGACGACUUCGCGGUAUAUAUGCAACACGUUCUCUCUUGAAAGAAGACUCGAUGAAACAAAAAGCCGUCGCACAGAAGGGAGAAGAGUACAAGGAGUCGAGAGCGGAAUAAUAGAGCAUAGCGAGAGAGACGUGUAUAACGAGAGCAACGAGUAUUUAUCGGAAGAGAGGUAUAGAUAGGCGCGCGAGUGCGGCGACGUGUAUAUGCAGAUAGCGUGUCGUUGACUUGCAAUCGCGCGCAGCCGCAGUUAAAAUGCUAUCGUUCUCAUUAACGUGGAAAAUGAUUGCGGCGAAAAUAAAGCCGGCGCUGGAUGUUUAUUGCCGCAGCUUCUUCUCUGAUGAAGACGCUGCACGUGAAAGUUAUUAAUAUACAUGUGCACACAGCGUUGUAAAAUCGUUAUAAGACUACAUUUUCAAAUUCAUGCCUUGAUUGCGCGCGCACGCGCGUCCUCGAGAGCGGCACUUUUAAAAUCCAGUCUCGACUUCCGCUUGCGCGCAAGAAGUCGAGAGAGAGAGAAAGUCAGUGAUGUUACUUUAAUUAGUGCUGUCGAUCCUCCGCUCCGAGAGAGAGAGAGAGAGAGAGAGAGAGAGAGAGAGAGAGAGAGAGAGAGAGAGAGAGGGAGAGAGAUAAAGACACUGCGCUCGGCGAACGAAAAAAUGGAAGAAGAACGCGAAACAAGAAAUGAAGACAACCACAAGAUAAGUAUCGAAGCUACAUACACACAGCUCGCUCGCGGUAUAAAUCAAGCGUGUAUGUAUGCGAGAACGCGAUAUUUUUUCGACUGCAGGAUUAAAUAGUUCGCAUAUCGCGCCGCUCGAUUUUAUCGCGAGAUGCAGCGUUUAUUCGCAUAAUUACUCGGUUAAGUAUAGUUUAUACAGUAGAUAAACAAUACCAAUAUUGUCAUUACCUUGAAGCGUCUUGUUGAGUCGACUCCUCAUGGCCGGGCUGUCGACGUGGUUGCACAUGUCCUGUUCGCAGCAGAGCUUUCCCGGUGGACAGGGCCUCUCGGCGAAGCUUCUCUCCAGACAACCGCUGUAGGCAGCGUGUUCUGGUCGAC